Molecule: ribosomal RNA, 485 nt
Filed under: uncultured bacterium
Lineage: Bacteria
Description: bacterial SSU rRNA
Rfam family: Bacterial small subunit ribosomal RNA
Source: RNAcentral
AUUGAACGCUGGCGGCAUGCCUUACACAUGCAAGUCGAACGGCAGCACGGGAGCAAUCCUGGUGGCGAGUGGCGAACGGGUGAGUAAUAUAUCGGAACGUGCCCGGUCGUGGGGGAUAACGUAGCGAAAGCUACGCUAAUACCGCAUACGAUCUAUGGAUGAAAGCGGGGGAUCGCAAGACCUCGCGCGAUUGGAGCGGCCGAUAUCAGAUUAGGUAGUUGGUGAGGUAAAGGCUCACCAAGCCGACGAUCUGUAGCUGGUCUGAGAGGACGACCAGCCACACUGGGACUGAGACACGGCCCCAGACUCCUACGGGAGGCAGCAGUGGGGAAUUUUGGACAAUGGACGCAAGUCUGAUCCAGCCAUUCCGCGUGCAGGAUGAAGGCCCUCGGGUUGUAAACUGCUUUUGUACGGAACGAAAAGGUUUGUCUUAAUACGAUGAGCUCAUGACGGUACCGUAAGAAUAAGCACCGGCUAACUACGUG